UACCAAGUGAUAUAUACCAGUUAUGAAAGCAUCACCUCACAUACUUAAUUAACACUUUACACUAUUGUAUCUAUGUUUCGCAAUUACGAUACUACAACAUUAUACAGAAGAUGUGAAUCAGAUGAAGGGAUUCCUUGGUCGCCGAAUGGCAACCACAACGAGUCUUCGCUGGUGACACAAGUCUUCACCGAGUCUCGAUCAUGGUAAUUCCUCCAUUGUCUCGGCGAAAACAAAACGUGCAACGCCUCCAGGACACGACGAUCGAGCCUUUCAACUCGCUGCUGCUCGAAUACUUUAAUGUCCGAGCAUGUUCGCAAGCUAGGACCUAACGAUCUGCAGACCACACCAAGGUCAACUCGGUCCUCCCUCCGCCCUUCCAGCAGGCUGGAAAGAGAGAAAAAACUCCCAACAAAACUAACCCUGAGAUUUCGCGCCAAAUGUGUUUUACGUCUGCUCCGUGCACCUGAAGCAGUUUGUGUGAAACGUAAGGUUAAUAUUUGAUAUAGUAUGUCCACUGGAGGAAUGAAGACCAGAUCCUCCGAGGUAAUUCGGUUCUAUCCGCCCUUCCACCAUGCCGAAAGCAUGCGAAAUGCCAACAUAUACGCUUAACGUCUGCUCAUACCAUCAAAUGGCUGCAGACGCGGAUGUGUUGCUGAUUUUAGACGUUUUUGUGAUAUAAGUUCAACACGUCUGGGAUCUAUUUGACAAGCGGGGAUGGCGGACACGUGGCGCUCCCGCGGGAACCGUCCUGCCGGGAAUCGGCAACACGUCGUAACGUCCAUUUAAUUCUCUUCUUAUGCUUUUCAAACUGAACUUGCGCUUUGAGCAUUGCUAUUCAUGUCUGGAAAUAUUCAGUGUCGACGCAAUGGUAUUUAGCGCCCCUGGCGAGUUUUAAAAUGUGCACCCCCUAGUAACUUUAGAUAAGCGUGUUAAUAUAAAAAUUCAGAUCACUAUUAUGCAAUGUUGUUUUUUAACGCAGAGUUUGUCGGAAUAUAGAACGUGUCGUGUGGAUAUACGCUGCACGGAUUAAUAUAUAUAUAUAUAUAUAUAUAUAUAUAUAUAUAUUUGACAUCGGGAACGGCACACAAUUAAAUGGUCGGAAUUGAUUCAUUUGUCUGAGACAUACUAAACCGCUUUAUAAACACAAUAUACAUUCUACUUGAAAUAUAUGUAUAUAUUUUUAUGAUAUAGUUGCUACAAGAACAAAAUGGUUUCUGAAAAAAUAAGUAGCAAAUAAACAGAAAUUGUUUCAUUUAUAACAGCUAUAUUUUCAGUAGUUUUUUCACCAGUGUGUUAUUGACAGCUACACUAUUUGCGAUUUUUAUUUUUCAUAUAAAUACAAAAUGAUCAUUUAUUUUUUUAAAUGGUUAUUUUGUGGCUUUAAAAGAAAAUCAAUAGAUUCUCCAGCAGCGUAAUACGGGUAAAAGUGCUGAUUGCACUAUUAGGGAAUUUCACAGUUAUCUCAUAAAUACAAAAUGUUUGAAUGUUUGGCGGAGACGCUUAAAUCUCAAUUUAUACCAACGACAUAAUGUCUUUUAUAAGAAUCUAUUCCGAAGACGAAUUACAGCAAACUUUCUAAUCGCCAUAGUUUUCAUUUUUAAGUUUGCUGACAGUAACAUAAAUAAAUAACACUAGAAAAUUAAAAUAUCAAAGACCAAUGUAGACUGAAAACAAACGAUGAUCCGAAGCAACUAUGAACAUCCAACUAACAUACUUUUCAAUCUUUGAUACAUUAGUUUAUGAUAUGGAUAAUAUAUUUGGCGGGCACUUCUAACAUGUAACUAAAAGUGGUUGUUGACAGAUAGUAUACAGGCAAUAUUAAUGCAUCGGCAUCUAGGUUACCCUU
RNAcentral lists this long non-coding RNA (1846 nucleotides) under Gigantopelta aegis. Its description in RNAcentral is "uncharacterized LOC121382706". The record is from RNAcentral. Lineage: Eukaryota; Metazoa; Mollusca; Gastropoda; Neomphalida; Peltospiridae.